This 253-nucleotide ribosomal RNA is filed under the name uncultured bacterium. RNAcentral describes it as "partial 16S ribosomal RNA". It matches the Rfam family "Bacterial small subunit ribosomal RNA", at positions 524 to 776 of the family's 1533-position model. The record is from RNAcentral.
UACGUAGGCAGCAAGCGUUGUUCGGAGUUACUGGGCGUAAAGGGUGUGUAGGCGGUUCUUUAAGUUUGGUGUGAAAUCUCCCGGCUCAACCGGGAGGGUGCGCCGAAUACUGAGGAGCUAGAGCGCGGGAGAGGAAAGUGGAAUUCCUGGUGUAGCGGUGAAAUGCGUAGAUAUCAGGAGGAACACCGGUGGUGUAAACGGCUUUCUGGACCGUAACUGACGCUGAGACACGAAAGCGUGGGUAGCAAACAGG